GCUCCAGUGGCGCAUUCGGUCAGCGCGUGGUACUUAUAAUGCCGAGGUUGUGAGUUCGAGCCUCACCUGGAGCA
Non-coding RNA from Acanthochromis polyacanthus (spiny chromis), 74 nucleotides. Lineage: Eukaryota; Metazoa; Chordata; Actinopteri; Pomacentridae. The record is from the annotation of a RefSeq genome assembly.